Molecule: long non-coding RNA, 2401 nt
Organism: Oncorhynchus nerka (sockeye salmon)
Lineage: Eukaryota; Metazoa; Chordata; Actinopteri; Salmoniformes; Salmonidae
Exons: 2
Source: RefSeq, a predicted model, not a curated record
UGCCAGCGUGACGUAUAAUCUAGUGGACGGUUCUUCGGACCAACAUAGCCGAAAGAUUCAAUAUAUUUAUACGCUUUUGGUGUAUAUUUGCUACUGUGUUUUAGACACACUUCUGUCGUAUCUACUUGUUAACUUAUUUCAUUUAAUAUUACGUUAUUUUGUAUUAGUCAGCUAUAGUAUCUGUCUGGUUAAAUUAGCACUAGUCUAGUCGCUAAUGAUAGCUAGCUAGCUACCUAACAUCCCCAACCAUGAACUCCCUAAACAUCUCUUCUCCUGUUAAAGAAGAGUUGAUCUGCUGGACGGAGAAAGAAGCUCCGGCGCUGAACAUUGUUGUGAAAGAGGGGGAGGAAUGUAACAGUAAAACAAGAAGUAGAGGGUGAGGUUGUUACAGUGAAAGAAGAAGAGAAAGACGUUUCAGUGAAAGAAGAGGAAGACGCGUUCAGAGUGAAAGGGGAAGAGGCUGUUACACUAAAAGAAGAGGAGGCAGAGAAAGAGGAGGAUGCAGCUUUUGGAGUGAAGAAGGAGGAGGGGGAGAUUACUGUCACAUUGAAAGAUGAAGAGGUGGAGAUAGGAGAUCUGAUUAACACCAGAGAGAGACCAGACUCUCACUCUGACAGCGGGAAGAGUCCUUCAGGGGAACCAGACCCAGAGACGCCCAAACCAGUGAGACAACACCACUGCUCCCACUGUGAAAAUAGUUUUUGCUGGUCAGGGAACCUAAAACUGCAUGAGAGGACACACACAGGAGAAAAACCUUACCAGUGUUCCCAGUGUGGAAAGAGUUUUGCCGUGUUAACUAACCUGAAAAGGCAUGAGAGAAUACACACAGGAGAAAAGCCUUAUCACUGUUCCCACUGUGGAAUUUGUUUUAUUCAGUUAGGGCACCUAAAAGGUCAUGAGAGGACACACACAGGAGAAAAGCCUUUCCAAUGUUCCCAGUGUGGAAAGAGGUUUACUAAGAAAGGGCAAGUAAAAGAGCACGAGAGAAUACACAAAGGAGAAAAGCCUUUCCAAUGUUCCCAUUGUGGAAAGAGUUUUACACGGAUACGAAAUCUAAAAAAGCAUGCGAGACUACACACCGGGAGAAAAGCCUUACCAAUGCUCCCAGUGUGGAAAGUGUUUUGCCGUGUUAACUAACCUGAAAAGGCAUGAGAGAAUACACACAGGAGAAAAGCCUUAUCACUGUUCCCAGUGUGUAAAAAGAGUUUUACCUGGUUAGGGAGCCUGAAGGUGCAUGAGAAGACACACUAAAAAAAGCCCUACCACUGCUCUUUCUCUCUGUGUGGAAGGACAUUUUUCCAGUCAGAGAACCUGAAAUUACAUGAGAAAAUAAAGGUGCUGUGUUCUGACUUAUUUUUGACUGAGAAUUUGUGUUUUUGUUUAUGCCACAUGAAAUCAUAUUGUUUAUGAUUAUACCUGUCUAUUUAAGGUCCCACAGUUAACAAUGCAUGUCAGAGCAAAUACCAAGCAAUGAGAUCAAAGAAAUUGUCCAUAGAGCUCAGAGACAGGAUUGUGUCGAGGCACAGAUCUGGGGAAUGUUACCAAAAAUGUCUGUAGCAUUGGAGGUCCCCAAGAACACAGUGGUCACCAUCAUUCUUAAAUGGAAGAAGUUUGGAACCACAAAGACUCUUCCUAGAGCUUGCCACCCGGCCAAACUGAGCAAUCGGGAGAGGAGGGCCUUGGUCAGCAACCCAAUGUUCACUCUGACAGAGCUCCAGAGCUCCUUUGUGGAGAUGGUUUUCCUUCUGGAAGGUUCCCCCAUCUCUGCAGCACUCUGCCAAUCAGGCCUUUAUGUAGCAAUGAUUAAAACCUCUUAAGGAUGCGCCCCUUUUUUUAAACUGUUUUUGGUUUGUCAUUAUGGGGUAUUGUGUGUAGAUUGAUGAGGGGGAAAAAUUUCAAUUUUAGAAUAAGGCGGUAACGUAACAAAAUGUGGAAAAGGUGAAGGGGUCUGAAUAUUUUCCGAAUGCACUGUAUACCGCUGGCUGAGGUUUCCACCGCUGGCUGAGGUUUCCACCGCUGGCUGAGGUUUCCACCGCUGGCUGGUAGUUUUGUACACAGUCACGUGAUACGUGGUAUAGAAAAAUCCAAUUUUAGGAGAGUACAAGGGAGGCACUAUACUGUCUCUGCAGGUGUCUAUCUGCACUGAAACAGGUGCCCCUCCACCCUCUGGUGGGAUGAAUCAUGUCUCCAGAGAAACCUAGAUUCAAAUACUUAGAUUUGUGUGUAUUGGGUAUAUGUUGUGAAAUUGUUAGAUAUUACUUGUUAGAUAUUACUGCACUGUCGGAGCUGGAAACACAAGCAUUUCGUUACACCCUCAAAAACAUCUGCUAAACACGUGUAUGUGACCAAUAAAAUGUCAUUUGAUUUUGAUUUGAAAUAAACUUCCUAUUUAUCAACGGUG